AUAUAUAUAUAUACCUCUGUCAACUCCUUGGAAAUAAAUGUCUUCAGGUUAGUUUGAUAAAGUAAGAUACCAAAAUACAAAAUUGUAAACACACUCAUCAUAAAUAACCGUGGACAUGUUCACGGGACUUUCAUUAGGACUAAUCUCAAAUAUCCGUUGAAUAUUGUGACGUGACAUUUAUAUACCGUAUGGAAUAGGAGUAAACCAUUUACAAUGAGUAAUGUAAGUAAUGAAAAUAAAAUGUUCAAAAGCUAAUUUUUACCUUUUAACAUAAAGAUAAACCUAUACAAUAGUUUGUGGGUAGACGAUGAACAUUUCACAUUAAAUUAUAUUUCUUUUUGUAUGAAUGUGGAAAUGAGUUUUGAUACAAUGACACUACAACCCAAAGGUGAAUGAUGAAUAAAAAUAUGGUCACUACAGGUCUUCUUCCGAUCGGCAGUAAAACCCUUGCGAAAGUGGGGCGUCCGUUUGGUUGUGCGGGCUGUACAAGUAAGCAGCAAUGUCCAGUCAGAAUUGGUACGUUAAAUCCAAUGCUUCGUUUACAGUAUAUGCCACGUUUUCUGCAUUUUGAGACGCUUUGCAAAAACUCUUUGAGAUGUCAGAAGGUAUGCUCAUCCAAUUAACCCUCAUUUUCAAGUUGAAAUCUAAAUUUCCCCAAACUUUAUUCAAAAC
Molecule: long non-coding RNA, 672 nt
Filed under: Mytilus galloprovincialis (Mediterranean mussel)
Lineage: Eukaryota; Metazoa; Mollusca; Bivalvia; Mytilida; Mytilidae
Source: RNAcentral